AUGGACUAGAAGGAGAGGAAUAGUGAGAGGAAGCUACACGCUUAAAAAAAAAAAAAAAAAUCUGGGUUCAGGAGCUACUGGAAUAAUAUUCCAACAACCUAAAGUAGGUCCGUGAGAGAAGGUUCAGCAGGGAAGGAGGAGUGGAGCGGGGUUGGAGAGGCCGCCUGCUCCCACCUUGCUGGAAGUCGGGUGGCCUGAACACGGAGCAGACUAACCAUCGUAUUGAAUCCUAUCAGGUAAGUGGCUUCUGUUUUAUGUAGAUAUUUUUGAAUUUUUUG
This 278-nucleotide long non-coding RNA is filed under the name Capra hircus (goat). Its description in RNAcentral is "lncRNA (ENSCHIG00000005809.1)". The record is from RNAcentral. Lineage: Eukaryota; Metazoa; Chordata; Mammalia; Artiodactyla; Bovidae.